Molecule: transfer RNA, 72 nt
Filed under: Perkinsus marinus ATCC 50983
Lineage: Eukaryota; Perkinsozoa; Perkinsida; Perkinsidae
Rfam family: tRNA
About the family: Transfer RNA (tRNA) molecules are approximately 80 nucleotides in length. Their secondary structure includes four short double-helical elements and three loops (D, anti-codon, and T loops). Further hydrogen bonds mediate the characteristic L-shaped molecular structure. tRNAs have two regions of fundamental functional importance: the anti-codon, which is responsible for specific mRNA codon recognition, and the 3' end, to which the tRNAs corresponding amino acid is attached (by aminoacyl-tRNA synthetases). tRNAs cope with the degeneracy of the genetic code in two manners: having more than one tRNA (with a specific anti-codon) for a particular amino acid; and 'wobble' base-pairing, i.e. permitting non-standard base-pairing at the 3rd anti-codon position.
Source: Rfam by way of RNAcentral
GGCCCUGUGGAGCAACGGUCGCGCAUCUGACUCCAGAUCAGAAGUUUGUCCGUUCAAAUCAGGCCGGGGUCA